UAUGUGAUCGUCUCUCGCAUAUCAAUAAGCGGAGGAAAAGAAACUAACAAAGAUUCCCUUAGUAACGGCGAGUGAAGCGGGAAGAGCUCAAAUUUGAAAUCUUCAAGGUUUUACCUUGACGAAUUGUAGUUUAAAGAAGUGUUUUCUGUUGAAGUUUUGGUAAAAGUUCUUUGGAAUAGGACAUCAUAGAGGGUGAGAAUCCCGUAUUUGACCAUUAUUUUCAGCUGUGUGAUACACUUUCAAAGAGUCGGAUUGUUUGGGAAUGCAGUCCAAAAUGGGUGGUAAAUUUCAUCUAAAGCUAAAUAUUGGCGAGAGACCGAUAGCGAACAAGUACCGUGAGGGAAAGAUGAAAAGAACUUUGAAAAGAGAGUUAAACAGUACGUGAAAUUGUCAAAAGGGAAGCGUUUGACACCAGUGUUGUUUUCUCGAAAAUCAAUUAAAAAGAGUUAGAUUUUGUUGUGUAUUGACCUUAACAGCUUGCAUUUCAAUUUUCUUGCUUUUUUUAAUGCACUUUUCGUUUAACAAGUCAACAUCAGUUUCUUUUGUUGUAAAAAGGUCAUUGGAAGGUGGCUUUCUUUUCGGAGAAAGUGUUUAUAGCCUUUGACUCCUGCAAUCGGAGAGACUGAGGUCUGCAGCGUAGAUCCUUCGGGGUUAGAUACAUUUGUGCUAAGUUAUAGCUUUUUAUAGACAACUUGUUGACUAUGAUUAGUCUUGUAGCUUACUCGCUUAUGCUAUUUUACCUACGCUUAGGAUGUUGAAGAUGUAGCACAUCAU
This 774-nucleotide ribosomal RNA is filed under the name uncultured Neocallimastigales. RNAcentral describes it as "partial large subunit ribosomal RNA". It matches the Rfam family "Eukaryotic large subunit ribosomal RNA", at positions 24 to 620 of the family's 3401-position model. Lineage: Eukaryota; Fungi; Neocallimastigomycota; Neocallimastigomycetes; Neocallimastigales. The record is from RNAcentral.